Molecule: ribosomal RNA, 1155 nt
Filed under: Triticum aestivum (bread wheat)
Lineage: Eukaryota; Viridiplantae; Streptophyta; Magnoliopsida; Poales; Poaceae
Description: partial small subunit ribosomal RNA
Source: RNAcentral
AUGGUGCCAGGGAGCUCCAAGAAGAAGAGGGACACGGAGAAGAGCCCUGUGUCCGAGCUCUCCGACGACCUCCUCGUUGAGAUCAUGUCCCUCUUGCCGUACAAGUCCACCUGCUGCUGCAAGUGCGUGUCUAGGCGAUGGCGCGACCUCGUCUCCCACCCCGACCACCGCAAGAAGCUGCCCCAGUCGACCCUCGCCGGCUUCUUCUUUGAAACAUACGACAUAACUAGCCGUGAGGUGUCUCGCUCUCGCCGCUACCAAAGUGUCUCGGGGAACUGGUGCCCUCGCAUCAACGCCUCCCUCUCGUUCCUGCCCAAAUGCGAGAGACUAGACAUUAUGGACAGCUGCAAUGGUCUCCUUCUCUGUCGCUGCUGGAAGAGCACUGAUGGCAAGAUGAUGGAUUACGUGGUGUGCAAUCCGGCCACUGAAAAAUGGGUGGUCGUGCCUGCCACCAACUGGUCCAGCAAGCUGUGGGCCAUUCGCUUGGGGUUUGAUCCGGCCGUCUCAUCCCACUUCCAUGUUUUUGAGUUCGUACCAGCUUUUGUCUUGGAUGAAGCUGACCGUCGUAGAUACAUUAAAGUGGUGGGGGUCUACUCUUCCAAAGCUGGAGUUUGGACACAUGAAAGUACUGGGAACCAUCUAGUUGAUAUAUGCAUCUUUUCAUCCAGCGUAUUUCUUGGCGGAGUGAUGUAUUUAUCUUCUUAUAAUGAUUUGGUUAUAGCAGUCGACAUGGAGGGAAAAUGUAAGGUCAUUCGUACACCUGCACUACGCGAUGGUUGUGGGGCUUAUGAUAUUUCUCUAUCACAGGGGCGAUUGUAUUUGGCAAAACAUGGUGAUUCUGAAGUAUCAAUCUGGGCUCUUGAUGAUUCUAGUACAGGAAAUUGGACCUUGAAGAACAAGGUCAGCCACUUGCAACUGUUCGAAAAAGAGUAUUCAUCAAUGCAUGAUUACGAUGUUAUCAUCCACCCGGAAGACAAUGCCAUUAUAGUACUAUGCGCACAACUGCACAUCGGGGGCCAAUCAUUGACAAAAGUUUUGUCAUACAAUGUGGAAUCUAGGGAGCAGCAUUUUAUGACAGAUCUUGGAUGGUAUUGCAGGAUUCCUUAUCUUUCAUAUGUUCCUUUGUUCUCAGAGUCACUGGCAGAUGCACAGUAG